This 471-nucleotide ribosomal RNA is filed under the name uncultured bacterium. Its description in RNAcentral is "SSU rRNA". It matches the Rfam family "Bacterial small subunit ribosomal RNA", at positions 26 to 518 of the family's 1533-position model. The record is from RNAcentral.
AGGACGAACGCUGGCGGCGUGCUUAACACAUGCAAGUCGAGCGGAAAGGCCCUUCGGGGUACUCGAGCGGCGAACGGGUGAGUAACACGUGAGUAAUCUGCCCUUAGCUCUGGGAUAGCUCCGGGAAACCGGGAUUAAUACCAGAUACGACCACUUUAGACAUCUGCCGUGGUGGAAAGAAUUUCGGCUAAGGAUGAGCUCGCGGCCUAUCAGCUUGUUGGUGGGGUAACGGCCUACCAAGGCGACGACGGGUAGCCGGCCUGAGAGGGCGACCGGCCACACUGGGACUGAGACACGGCCCAGACUCCUACGGGAGGCAGCAGUGGGGAAUAUUGCGCAAUGGGCGAAAGCCUGACGCAGCGACGCCGCGUGGGGGAUGAAGGCCUUCGGGUUGUAACCCUUUCAGCAGGGACGAAGCGAAGUGACGGUACCUGCAGAAGAAGCGCCGGCUAACUACGUGCCAGCAGCCGC